CCCCAAACCCGCCCCUCCCUCCCUGGCUGAGCCCAGUUCCACUUCCUCAUUGCAGCCCCCGCCAGCUCCGGCCCUGAGGACUUCCAGUACUUUGUCACCACCACGGAGCUCACAGAGGAGGCCAUCCUGAUGAAAGUCCAGCUCGUGACCCCCUGUGGCCCAGGCCAGAGAGCCCCAAGCCCUGAUCGCCUGGCACCCCAGCCCCUCCCAAGAUUAGCCCAGGGAAGCAUGGCAGACCUGGUCUUUGGGCUGGAAGUCUACAAUGACAUCUUGUCCUGCCUCUACACCAGCACAGAGACCCCUGUGGACCCCCAGGAUCCCACAGCCUCUGAACUCAUUCGGCUGUUGUCACUAAGAGAACUGGAGCCCGGGCCCGAGGCUUCCCAUCUGUCCAGAGGGAGCAUGGGACUGACCAUCAAGGCCCCUGAUCCUCCCACGGUCCGCCUUGACAGCCACGAGGCCAUGGUCGUCCAGCCGGGCUUGCUCGUGCUGCUGGAGCCCAGCGAUACCUCCUCUGUCCCAGUCUCCUGGAAACUCUUUUCAAAGGCUGUGUUUUCCUCGAGAAAUCAGGACCUAAGAAUCCAGUUUGAUCCAAACAGCACCACGGUCACCCUGGGCCCCUACCCCGCUGGCAUCAAGAGACAGGUGAGUCCCUUCCCUUGGCCUUGGCCUCAUCCAAGUCGAAAGCCUCAUUCACUUUCUACCCCUGAUC
Molecule: long non-coding RNA, 712 nt
Filed under: Microcebus murinus (gray mouse lemur)
Lineage: Eukaryota; Metazoa; Chordata; Mammalia; Primates; Cheirogaleidae
Description: lncRNA (ENSMICG00000048275.1)
Source: RNAcentral